AUAUUUUUGAUGUAUUUGUAACUAGCAUAAAUAAAAAACUCUGUUCUUAUCAGCUUAAUAUCUGAUACGGGUUCUAUAUGGACCCACGAUAUUAAACCUAUUUUUGGAAGUUGGCGGAGUGCUUGAAGCCUGCUUCACCUCCGCCGCAGGUCGGCCCGGUAUUGCACUACCUCCGGGAUCGGCCCCGCUCAC
RNAcentral lists this small nuclear RNA (192 nucleotides) under Dermacentor andersoni. RNAcentral describes it as "U2 spliceosomal RNA". It matches the Rfam family "U2 spliceosomal RNA". From Rfam's summary of the family: U2 is a small nuclear RNA (snRNA) component of the spliceosome (involved in pre-mRNA splicing). Complementary binding between U2 snRNA (in an area lying towards the 5' end but 3' to hairpin I) and the branchpoint sequence (BPS) of the intron results the bulging out of an unpaired adenosine, on the BPS, which initiates a nucleophilic attack at the intronic 5' splice site, thus starting the first of two transesterification reactions that mediate splicing. The record is from RNAcentral. Lineage: Eukaryota; Metazoa; Arthropoda; Arachnida; Ixodida; Ixodidae.